GUUUAACAUUCUCAAGCAAACACCUGUUAGAGGAGUAAGGUCGACCUGAGCAGACGACGACGCGUCCUCGCGUGUCCACGUCCAAGUGGUCACGGUGGUCGAGCGCCUCCUGACCAGCUUGAGUCGGUCCCGUCACAGCGUCCCCCCCCCUGUUAGAGACGGACAGAGGCUCUUUGUCCAACGGGCCCGGUUCCUCCGCUCCACUCGUAGCGGCUCGGCUUCUCAGUCCCUGUCAGCUACCCGGUAGUCAGACGCCUCCAGGGCCUCGUUACGAGCUCGGUCUGAGGGCCCACUCCGUCAGGAGCCGCCAGGGAUUCAUUCUUCCUCCACUCAAGACGGCUCGGGACCGAAUGCGCCUUGUGAUGUGUUGUAAAAGUGACAGUUUACCGGCUUAAAUCCAUUUACAAUCAGGGACCGAAAUCUCCGUGUCGUUUCUGAUUGAGCUUUAAUCACAGACAGACCCACACCUUUAUCUCGUAAUUGGCCCAAAGGAAAUCGGUGCGGUUAGGAAGCAGAGGAAAGGCAGGGAGAACGCCCAGUGCUGUCGGGACACGGAUUCUGCAGCUCCAGGAGUGGGAUUGAAGACGGGCUGAGGCAGUGCGGGGCUCAGACGUCCACGAGCGCCGGUGCAGCAGCGAGGGAUUUCAGACCAGAGGUCUCUGUCCCGCGGAGGUUACUUCUGCAGAGGCUGGAUGGGCGGAAAGAUUUAAAUUACUCAACUCAUUAGAUGGAAAUUAAGAUACGACUAUAGAAUGUACAGCUGUAAGACCAACGCUACAAUUUGCAUUUAAUGUCUACACUGCUGAAAUAACUUACUUAAAUCAAAUCAAAGUGGUUGAAUUUGCUUAAGAUAAUAGAUGAAUUGUAACAAAUUAACUAACAAUAUUAGUUUAAUGUAAUGAAGAAAUUGUAACAAAUAUGUUAAAUCUAACAAAUGAAUUAUUAGUUUUAUAUAAAAUUAAAUUGUAACAUUAAAUAUAAUGCAGAACUUGUUACAAUAUAUGCUAAAUGUAAUACAUUUAGCUAAUGUUACAAUUCAUGUAACAAAUGAACUAACAAUGUCAGCUAAAUAUAAUGGU
Long non-coding RNA from Gasterosteus aculeatus aculeatus (three-spined stickleback), 1079 nucleotides. Lineage: Eukaryota; Metazoa; Chordata; Actinopteri; Perciformes; Gasterosteidae. The record is from Ensembl.